UAGUCUUGUUUAACUACAUUCAUUUCAAGUGUAUAAUUCAAUCUAUGGGAUGUAAAUCGAGUAUGUUGUUGUUUUUCUGCUUUUUGUCGCACGUUUCUACUAUUUGUUUAUAUAGUAUGUGAACUCAAACAAAUGGAAAGUGCCUGUGAGUAAUUAGUUUCAAGAAAGCGGUCGUUCACGUCAGGAAUAGAGGUCGUUAAGGAUGUACUUUCUUUUCCUUUUGUUCAUCUAGAUUGUGUUGAUGUUCAGUAUACCACUUGUCUAGUCUGAUCUAUGCAAGCCUACAUAAAGUACAAGAUCAAAAAGAAUGCAUUGAAUGGAUGUCCGGUUAUAUGUUUGUAUAUAAAAUUAUAUGGAUAAGCAUCUCUUUAAAUUAGAAAUAAACAACAUCUAGUAGCUCUUAAACAUAAGAUGUUCCUCAUCAGCUGACACAAAAGAUUUUCAAGGAAGCAUACUUAUCUAGACGAGGUCAAUGGUCGAUCAAAAAGGCUUAACAACCUAGGCUAGUGACCUUCAUUGCACUUUGAAGGAGAGUCCAAAUAAGGUUGGCCCAAGUGGUCAAGUCUAUGUCAUAAUUUGUGGUCGAGUUCUAUAAAAUUAAACAAGUAGACAUACAUACGCGUUCUACGUGGAAAUUUAUGUCGUAUAUGGCAUCCUACGUACAUCAUGUCACGUGGAUGCAUGUGUCUACUUUUUCAACUUUAUACAAGUUUAAGUACCUACUUGUGCACUUCCAAAAUUGAAGGAUAUAAAUAUCAGUUAAGAUCAAGUUAAAAGACACAUGUAUGUAUUAUAUUAAAUAUUAUACCCACAAAUAAUACAAUACAAUAAAAAAAAAUACUUAUUAAAGUCAAUGAUCCAAAUAGAGUUUGUUUAGAAGUAAUUACUUAGUUGAUUGUGACAUAACUAAAACUCAUUUGAUCAAGUUGUAGAAAAGUUAAAUUAAUAAUCAAUUAACUAACACACCGAAUCAAAUCGAGUGCCAAAAAGUCAAACAAACCGACUUUUAAUUACCUAUUGUUUCGUAACGUAUGGUAAUGAAUUGUAUUAUUUUAAUAUUAUGAUUUGCUAAGUAUUGGUCAUGCAUAAGAUAAGUAUCAAGAAAAUAAUAAUAUGAAAAUUAAUACGUAUAUUAUUUUGGAACAAGGGUCUGAAAAAUAUCUCAACUUUGGUCGGAUUUGUUGUUGCGAUGCUAAACUUUCAUAAGGUACCUAUUACCUUCCUAGACUAUUUUAAUACCGUAUUUUUUUACCCCAUGAACUAUUUAAUAGUGUAUUUUUAAAGGUAUAUAUGUGCCCACGUGGACAAUUACUACUUAUAAUUUUGCAUUAUUUUUAUGUCCACGUGGGCAAACAUAUAUGUUUAAAAUACGGUAUUAAAUAGUCUAGGGAGGUAAUAGGUCCUCAUGAAAGUUUAGUAUCGCAACAACAAAUCAAACCAAAGUUGGGGUAUUUUUUCAGACCCUUAUCCCUAUUAUUUUCUCUAAUAAUUUUUACCUAACAACCCUUGAAGUUGUUGAAAAUUUCGAAGACUUGAUGUUGCAGAGCCAAUAAUCCCGAGGUAAUAAAGUCUUUUAAGAUCGAAGUGAGGGUUGUUUGGUAGUUGAUUAGAAUUGUGCCAAAUAUUAGUAACAUAUGAAUUAGUUAGGAGAGAAUUUAUAUAUUAUUUUAUACAAAGUUUAGGUAUUCAUUAAUCAUAUAUUGAUUAUUGAUAUAGAACUUAUUCCACAUUCUAUACAUCCUAUACAAAAUAAUAUAUACAUAUAUUUUCUUAUAACUUAUACAUUAUUAAUUAUGCAGAUUUCCGAAUUACAAAUCAAAUAGUAUCAUAUAUUAACCUAAGAUCUAAUACACGCAUAACGACACUUUGACUUUUCUUCACCUUCUUGGCCAAGGGCUAAGUCAAAAGUCUUCUUAAAUUACUUGUUUUUAGUACCUACUCUUUAAUUUCUCUCAUUAAAAAAAAAAAAUAGGGUACAUUUUUUAUGAUUUCAAUUAGGAACAUGAUAAGAAGUUACCAUAAAGACUAUGAAUAAAUAGUGAAAAAAGGUGAAGUCUUGUUUUUCAUUAAGUCUUUAGAAAUCAUAACUUAUAUUCUUCAACAAUAAUGACACACACUUUUUCUUCUGAAAUUCACAAGUACGAUGCAUUUCUGAGUUUUAGAGGUGAAGAUACACGAAGAACAUUCGUGAGUCAUCUCUAUAAUGCUUUAAUACAAGGAAGAAUUGAUGUUUUCAAAGACGAUGAGCGUCUACAAACCGGAAAAUCAAUUUCUGACGAACUACCAAAAGCCAUAGAAGAGUCUAAAUUUGCUAUAGUGAUAUUUUCUGAAAGCUAUGCAUCGUCAAAAUGGUGUUUAGAUGAGCUUGCACACAUUAUGAAAUGUCAAAAGGAAUUGAAACAAAUUGUAAUUCCUAUUUUCUAUAAUGUGGAUCCAUCAGAUGUGCGUCAUCAAACUCAAACUUUUGCUGAGUCUUUUUCCCAACAUGAGGAAAAAUACAAAGACGAUAUCGAGAAGAUUCAAAGAUGGAGGGAAGCAUUUGAGGAGUCUGGGAAAAUAUCAGGGUAUCAUUUGCAAAAUUACAAGUAAGAUUACUUCUCUUUGUCUUUUUAACUGUCAAGUCAAACGUGCCAUAUAAAUUGAGUCAAAGAGAAUAUUUAAUUUGAUUUCUAAAGUUCGAUCUAAAUAGUUGUUCUUUUCAUUGUUACAUUUAGGGAUGAGGCAGAUUGCAUCAAAAAGGUUGUUGAAAGACUAAUGUCAGCAUUACAUAUUGAAUCUGAUGACGAUGAUGAUGAUGUCCGUGCCUUCAUACGGGGCAUGGACAAUAACUCUCCAAUUCUUAUCGAUGGAGGCAAAAUGGUAUUAUUUCGUUUAUAAUUUGAAUCCUCGUAGUGAAAUUUGAUAGAUAUCUAUCUUAUCACGUCCAUUAAGUACCUAGUUGCUAGUUUCAAAAUUGUGUGUUAGUUGACCCUUGAAAAUAUUGUUUCAAUUAUCAAUACAAAAUCCUAUUUAGUAAGUAAUAUAAUGAUCAAUAGUCUUUAAAAUACCAAAUAUUAUGUAUACAUGUUUUUUUAUAAAUGAUUAAUUCACACUUGACAUAUGUCCACAACUAAAUUUACAUAUUCAAUUAUAGUUUUAUUCUUUUAUUGCGUUAGUUUCGUAAAUACUAGAAUUUAGAUUAAUAAAUAACUAAUUGUUAAUGAAAAGGACCAAUGUCUAUGUGUACCGUGCUAUGUGUAUGAGUGGAACUGUGAAAGUCAUGUCAAGUGGGCAGGGUCAGUCCAUGACCGAUCCAACCCGACCUGAUAAGAAAGGGCGAGUGAUCACUAGCCUGCCCCAUUCAUAAGGGUUGUUGGGUGGUCAGGGUCCAGGCGCAGGCCACCUACUAGCUUGGCCCAUUCAUUAGGAUUGUUGAGUGGUCUCUAUAGGACCUUUUUCGAUUUGUUUUCUAAUUUAUGAUGUCCUAUGUUUGUGAUUUGUCUUGUCAAUCAGAGUUUUUCGUUAGAUAAGAAGAGGAAGAAAUGUUUUAUGAUAGCAGCAAGGGGACUUGAUAUUGAAUGGAGUGAUAAACCAAAGUAUUGGAAAUGGUUAUCUCACUCUGACUCCAGGUUUUAUAUAUUCGCAGUCCCUUUCCAUAUUUUAGUAUAAAAAUUGAAAUAAAUCAGUAAUAAUUAUUGAGCAAGGUUAAUUUUUAUUUUUUUAGAUUCGCGGAAGUGGCUAAACUCAAGAAGGUCUAUUGGCUUGAAAUUCAAGGCAAAAUUGAUUCUCGAAGACUAUCAAAAAGAACUAAAUAUGUUGUGUAUCUAGUGUUCAAAUUGGAAAAUCAAUUCUAUGGCCUUGAAACUGUUAAUGCAGUUGUAAGAUUUGUUGAUUCUAUGAGUAAAAAAGAUGCGGAGAAACGAGCUAGUGUUGUGCAUUUUGCAGGACGAGGACCUAGAGAAACGCUACCCUUCGAAAGAGCUGAUGGAUGGAUGGAAUUAAAAAUGGGAGACUUUUUCAAUGAUGCAGGAGAAGACGGAUAUGUUGAUGCGCGAUUAAUGGAAACUAAGAAACUCGAUGAAAAAAGUGGCCUCAUUGUUCAAGGAGUGGAGUUUCGUCCCGAAUGAAGAAGAGAAGAAUCCUCCUCUUACUAUCCCCUUUUGUUUUGGUCUCAUUUUGAUAGAUUCAAGUACUUCUAUAUAUAUAUGGCCCUUCUAGAGGAACGUACUGAUAGAGAAAAUAAAAUUUGAUUAGACAAUGUGUGUUUGUAGUAAGGUCGAUUUUUUAAACAUUUUAAUAUGAGUCUACAAGAUUUAGUUUCGUUCAAGUGUCGAGCUUAUUUGCAUCGACAUCUAGCUAGUUUAACAAAAUUCAUGUACUUUGGUUAUUUGUGUUUGUGUUCGAUCCUUGGUUAAAAUGACGCACUGGAAUUUUUUUACAGUCCAAAAGUGGCGCUACAUUUUUGUUUUAGAAGAGAACAUAAUAACAUUAUGAGUAUCUAUUUCUUCCCAAGUAACUUAAAACAAAUCAAAGCUUAAAUACUAUGAUCUUUAAUUUCCAUCUCAAAUUAUAUCUCAUGAUUUUUUAAAAAUAACUAUCUCAAGUUUUUUGUCAUUUUAGGAGUUCAAGAUAAAAUUAAUUAUUAUUUUCAUAUAUACAUAAGCAGAGAAAAUAUUUAAUUUAAAGAGAUUAUAUAAAUAAGUAGAGAAAUUUUAUCUGAUGCCGUAGGCUGGCAAUUAACCUCUAUAUUAUACAUGGGAGGGUGCCCGCCUAGUGUCAUUGUGCAUGUAUUAGAUCUCGCACAAGUAAUGUCAUAUUUUAUGACUUGAAAUAGGAAGAUGAUAAGAAGUUCUCAUAAAGACUAUGAAUAGUCUUUACGAUGCUUUUAUGAGUUUUAGAGGUGAAGAUAUGCGUAGAACAAUAGUUUUUAGAUUCAAACGAUAAGAACUUUGACUAACAUUUACGAUGUAUUUUUUAUCAUAUUGAUAUGCAAAAAAUUGCAAUUUAUAGUACUUUUCGUAUAGUUUUUGAAUAUCUAAAUUUUUAGUUUAAAAUAUUGAAUUAAUAUUGUAAUGACCCUCCUGGUCAUUUCUAUAUCUUGCCUUUUGUGUGUCGUUCAGAGCGUUCCUGUAGCGACCCCAAGUCAUUUAUGACUUGCUGGGACUGACAGUUCGGUCACCUGGUCGUUCGUUUGGUUAUGGUGUGAGUUUUCGUGUUUUGGAGCUUAUGAACCUUGAACGAUCAUUUUCGAUCAAAAGUUUGAGAAGAUGACACUGGAAUCCAAUUCUGACGAUUCCAUCAGCUCCGGAAGGGUCAUUUUAGGCGAGUAGCAUGGUCGACAUGACUCUCGAGGUUUUCAGUGUGAGUCGGUGCGAUUAGGCGUUUUAACUUUAAGUUUAAGCCUAAGUUUGACUUUGGUCAACAUUCUGAGUAAACGCGCUCGGAUGAGAAUUCCGUCAGCGUGGUUAGCUCCGGAAUGUCGAGUUUGGUCUGGGGACUCCAAAUCACUAUCCGAGCUCACCAACACGUUGUCCUCGAAAAAUCUCACAACUUAGCCUUUUGGAUCGCCCAAAUCGGUUGAGAGAUGAGAGAAUUAUGAGGGUUUGAAAUUUGGGAAAUGUUGCUGAUUUUCUGCAAUUUAUUGCAGAAAAUCAGCCACAUUUCCCAAACUUCAAACCCUCACAACUCUCUCAUUUAAAGUCCAAAUUCAGUGAUUCAAAGGAUCAUUUUGUGAGGUUUUUCGCAAGGAACGUGUUGGUGAGCUCGGAUAGUGAUUUGGGGUCCCAGUUUGAGGUAAUUUUCGUAAAAUACCUGCUGCCACGACCUUUUUUAUGAGCUUAAUUUUGGAAAAUUUUGAGACUUGUUUUCUUAGCCAUUCUAGGUCCGAUUUCAAUGAUUUUUGAGGCUAUCUUGAGUGGUUUUUUGAGGAGAACGUCGUGGUGUUGUCACAUUUCACUGUAGACCUCCAGUUUCUGGUAAUAUACUGAUUCAUCUACUGUCUCAUUUCUAGUUUUUGAGAAAAUUUGGGUUUUGGUUGCAUGUUGAUAUUGUGUUGUUCCCGAGUCCCGAAUUGUGUCCCAUUUUGGGACAUGAGCUGGGGGAACUGGUUAGGACCCACUUUUGGGGUUAAUUCCGGAAUUUCCAGUGCGGGUCCCACUUUCCCCGUUUUGACCCUGAAAUUGGUCCGUCUCCAUUUAUUGUGAUUUCAGUGUCUAAAUGACCGUAAUAAUGUUGUGACACUAUUUUUGAUAGCGGGGCAGCGUUACAUGGACGUUCGAAAAGGGAAAGCUCCAGAGAAGUGAUUUUGGAGAACGUAUGAUCGACCUACAGGUAGGCUACGGUUUCCCUUUCUUAGAUUGAGCUUGAGAGUGUGAAUGCAUGUUGAUUAGUUGGGAUUUGGGUUGGUAGUGAUUGAAUCAUGCAUAGGUGUUUAGAAAUCAUGUUUUCGGCCUAUUUUGGGAAUUAUUGGAUAGCUGUGAGCAUGCUUUGUGUUAUUAAUUGUCUCUCUUUUCUAUGUGGAGUACUUGUAUGCUCGAUGACUAUUUGUUGAAGCAUUUGGGCCGUAGUUUAGGUUUGACUAGGGUUUGCCUUAGAAAUACAUGAUUCAGAUCCGAUAAGCCUUAGUUUUGCCCCGACGCCACUCGAUCGACUUAGAUCCCUGUAGACUGGUGUAGUAGACUUGAGUCUGAUAGUUUGGGCAUUAGCUAGGCGAUACGUUUGCUCCGAUGAUAGUUAUCCUUAUUUCCCCGAUGUUACAGCUUCAAGAGUUACGUCGGUGACACUAGUUCUGCUUAGCGAUUUGAAUUUGAUUUUCGAUUCGAUUUCCAAGGACUUACAUUGAUUGGCUAGGUGUGGACAGCGAUCCACGGACAUUUAUGAGAAUAGAUCGAUUGGGACUCUUUCAGCAACUACAUUGGCACCUCUAUAAAGCAUCCGGUUAAAGUUCCGGCCUCUAUUGCCCAGAUACUUAUAUAUAGCAUCCGGUUAGAGUUCUGGCCUCUAUUGCCCAGAUACUUAUAUAGAGCAUCCGGUUAUAGUUCCGGCCUCAGAUACUUGAUACUUGUGAUUAGUUAGUUGGGUACUUCUGGUGAGCAUCCGGUUCGAGGUCCGGCCUCCGUACUGUUAUAUUUUACUAAUUAGGGUUGAGGUUCUGCUUCGAUGUUCUCCGUUCUUGGGUUCUUAUAUGCAAUUCCCUUUAGUUAUAGUUGUUCUGUGUACUCGUCGGGCUUAUGGGGGUCCGUUCGGGUUUUUAUUUAACUUGCGCACGAGUGUACCUUCUGGGCUUAUGGGGGUCCAGUUAGGAUAGUUAGCUUAUAUAUUACUUUAGUUAGUUCUUUCUACACUCGUGUGCAUUCCAAUUUUAGUUAGAUUUCCGUUCUUGACCUCUGUUUGUGUUAUUCCUUCUUUUCAUACUGUCUUUACUUUUCAAGUUCAGUCGGCCUAUGAUGCCUACUGGGUACCUGUUGUUUUGGUACUCAUGCUACGCUCUGCAUCUGUUUUGUGAUGCAGGUUCGGGCACUAGUAGCCAGCGUUGAUCGAGCUUAGAGCAGACUGAUCCGGAGACGGGAGUGAGCACACGGUCGUUUUGUACUAUUUCAGUCUCUAUCUGUAUAUAUAGACUUGUCUUUUACCUUCCGAGACAGUCCAAUCUCUGUUGUCCACUUUUGGGACUUGUACUCAUUUUGUAGUAGCUCUGUACUGUGACUUCCAGGUUCUGGAGGUAAUCUUUAUUUGUAUAUAUGUUUUGGUUUGCUUCUGCCUGUUUAUAUUGUUAUUUGCCUACUCUUGUUUAGUUUCUACCCUCAGACCCAUUACUUGUUGUUCCGGGUUACGGGCUGGCUUACCUGCUGGUGGGUUAUAGUAGGUGCCAUCAUGACUUGAGAAAUCAGGUCGUGACAAAUAUAAUCUAAUUUAACUUUGAAAAUUAGUCAAAUUAACUUUCGAAAAACGUAAUAUUACAACGAAAAAGGAACGGAGGGAGUAUCAAACAUAUGGUAUUACUUAAUUGUGCGAGAUCUAAUAUACGACGACGUACACUUAGAGGUCGUUUGAUAGGGUGUAUAAAAGUAAUGUUAAAUAGAGUGUAUUAGUUAUGCUUGUAUGCACUAUACAUAAAUUAUUUUUUAUUCAUUGUUUGGUUUGGUGUACAAAAAAUAACAUGAAUUGCAUAAAAAAUAUUUAUUUAUAAAAAUAUCCUCCACAAUUAGGAUGGAAAAGAUGUAAAAAGGAGUUUUGAGGGGUAAUUGAGUUUUUAACCAUACUAAUGCAUGUAUUGAAUCUCUUUGUGUUACUAAUACCUAAAAAUCAAUGAUAUUAGUAAUACAUUCUUUCAUACACAAUAAAGUGUAUAACUAAUGCGUGCAGAUAAGAUACUACUAAUACACAAAGUUAAUGCGUGCAUUAUUUUUGCUAAUACACUUUGCCGACACCACAAGACUUUUGUUGGCUAAGUCAAAAGUCUUCUUAGCUGUAUUUUGUACGACCUCAUUAAUGUAGGUUACAUUUUCAUGACUUUGAAAUUGAAACAUGAUAAGAACAUAAAGACUAUGAAUAAAUAGUGAAAAGAAUUGGUGAAGUGUUGUUCUUCAUUAAGUUGAGAAUUUCCCUAUUAGUUUUUGGCAAUUGUAUAACUAAUAUUCUUCAACAAUGUCACACACUUCUUCUUCCAAAAUUCAAAAGUACGAUGCUUUUCUGAGUUUUAGAGGUGUAGAUAUACGUAGAACAUUUGUGAGUCAUCUCUAUAACGCUUUAAUACAAGGAAGAAUUAAUGUUUUCAAAGACGAUGAACGUCUGGAAACUGGAAAAUCAAUUUCUGAUGAACUACCAAAAGCCAUAGAAGAGUCUAAAUUUGCUAUAGUGAUAUUUUCUGAAAGUUAUGCAUCGUCAAAAUGGUGUUUAGACGAGCUUGCACACAUCAUAAAGUGUCGAAAGGAAUUCGACCUAAUCGUAAUUCCUAUUUUCUAUAAUGUGGAUCCAUCAGAUGUGCGUCAUCAAACUCAAACUUUUGCUGAGUCUUUUUCCAAACAUGAGGAAAAAUAUAAAGAUGACAUGGAGAAAAUUCAAAGAUGGAGGGAUGCUUUUGCGGAAUCUGGGAAAAUAUCGGGGUACCAUUUGCAAAAUUACAGGUAAGAUUACUUUUCCUUUUCUUAUUACUCUCUGACAGUUCCAAUUUAAGUCUCUUAAUUUGACUGGAAAUGAAGUUAAAGAAAAUAAAGAGAUUUUUUUAUCUUAAACAAAGAAUAUAGAAAAAAGGCACUCUCUUGUGGACAAAUCAAAAAGGAAAGUAAAGACACUUAGCUUCCAUAUGGACAUGAAAUCCCAAAUUAUAUAUUAUUUCUUUUAGAAAAUUUGAAAUUUCAUAUCAUGAAUCAAAAUUGCAUGUGCAAACACAAAUUUGAAAUAAUGAUUUCAUAUCAAAUAUCCAUAUAUAAGCAUAAACUGAGUCAAAGGGAGUAGUAUUUUUUUAGCUUUGCCCUCAUGGGUAAUUCAAGAAACAUAGUGUCUUUAUGGUUGUGCAAGAAUAAUUAUAAGCAAUAAAAUAAGGCAUAGAAUAUAAUAAAAGAGAGCAUACACUAGGGUGCGAACUCUAAUCUUAUAUUCUCAUUGUUUCAAUUUAUGUGACAAAUUUUCUUUUUAGUUCAUUCAAUAAAAAGAAUAUUACAUUUCUAUAAUCAUAUUAGAUUAGAAAUAAGGAUAUUCGUAAUAAAAGAGAGUGACCUCCAUGGAGGACAAGAUGAAGGAAGCAAGACCGAGAUGGUUUGGACAUGCAUAUGAAAAGGAGAUGCACAGAUGCACCAGUGAGGAAGUGCAAGAGGUUGGUUAUACAAGGUACGAGGAGAGGCAGAAAUAGGCCAAAAAAGUAUUGAAGAGAGGUGAUAAGAUAGGAUAUGACCCAUCUUCAGGUUACUGAGGACAUAACCCUAGACAGUGGCGGAUCCAGGAUUUAGACUCCGUGGGUGCCAAAUAGACUUAUCGAUUAAAUUAAUUUUAUAUUUGAUUAAAUUAUUCGUCUUUUCGAUAUAAAUUAAUUUUAGUUCUCUAAUUUUUCUUAAAAGAACGUGUGCAACAAUUUCCUUUUUCUUAAAAAAACGUCUUUCUCAAAAAAAGGUACAAAUGGGAUUCGAACCCGCAACAUCAGCCUUCUAAAGUUGCCCUCCUACCGUGGCACCACAAGCCAAUUUUGUUCUGUGGGUGGCACGCUUUAUAUAAAUAUAAAUAUUAUAUAAAUAUACCUAUGUAUAUAUAGAGUUUCCGUCGAAGUUCGGGGGUGGCGUGGCACCCCCACACUCCUUAAUAGAUCUGCCUCUGACCCUAGAUAAGAGGAUGUGGAGGACACGUAACUCAUAAGUGCAAUAUGAAAGUAUAUAAACAGAGAAAGUACUGCAACAUUACACAAUAGUGUUGGGUUCAUAACAGUUGGUGUUUGUCAUUGUCAUUAUACUAGUAUUAAUUAUUGUAGUUCUUGUUUUUGUUAUUUUGAUUAAUAUCGCACUAUUUUGUUGUUACUUGUUAUAUUUUCAUCAUUGUCUCUGUUUUCUUUGUAUCUGCAUUUGUUGCACUUGAGCCAAACAUCUAUUGAAAAUAGCAUCUCUAUUUCCACGAGGUAGUGGUAAGGACUAUGUACAUUCUACCCUUCCCAAACGCCACUUGUGGGAUUUCACCGCGUAUGUUGUUGUUGUUAACUUUAAAAUUUCUCUUUUACCCUUAAAUAAUAUGAUUUACAAUCACAUAAAUGUUUAAGGUUCGUUUAAAACCACAAAUUUCACUAGGUAUUUUCUUUCUUUAACUUUGUUUCAUGUCAAACAAUGUCACAUAAUAAAUUGAGACGAAGAGAGUAUUUGAUUUCUAAUGUUUGAACUAUUUUCAUUGUUAACAUUUAGGGAUGAGGCAGAUUGCAUCAAAAAGGUUGUUGACAAAUUAAUGUCAUUAUUACAUAUUGAAUCUGAUGACCAUUACAACGACGAUGUUUUAAAGGGCCCUAAAUCUCCAAUUCUUAUUGAUGGAGGCAAAAUGGUAUUGUUUCUUUUAUAAUUUGAAUCCUUUUAGUGAAAUUCGAUAUAUAUAAUUUAUUUUGUUAUUUUCGUGAAUAUUAGAAUUGAUUUGUCAUUUAUUCGAUAUGUUUUCUAGUUUCUGAUGUUUCAUGUUUGUGAUUUGAUCUGUCGAAUAGAGUUUUUCGCUGGAUAAAAAGACGGGGAAGAAAUGUUUUAUGGUAGCAGCAAGGGGACUUGAAAUUGAAUGGGGUGGUACACCAGAGUAUUGGGAAUGGUUAUCUCAUGUGGACUCAAGGUUUUAUAUAUUUGUGAUUCCUUUUUAUUACUAGAAUAAAUUUUGAAAGGAUCUGAACUAUUACUACAUGCCUAUAAUUAUUGAGCAAUGUGAAUUUUUUUUUUAGUUUCGCGGAAGUGGCUAAACUCAAGAGGGUUUGUUGGCUUGAUAUUCGAGGCAAAAUUGAAACUCGAAGACUGUCGAAAAGAACCAAAUAUGUUGUUUAUCUAGUGUUCAAAUUGGAAAAUAAAUGGCAUGGCCUUGAAACUGCUAAUGCAGUCGUUAGAUUUGUUGAUUCUGUGAGUGACAUUGACGCAGAGCAACGAGCUAGUGUUGUACAUUUUGCAGGACAAGGACCUAAAGAGACGCUACCCUUUAGAAGAGGUGAUGGAUGGAUGGAAUUAAAAAUGGGAGAUUUUUUCAAUGAUGCAGGAGAAGACGGAGAUGUAGAUGCACGAUUAAUGGAGACUAAACAUCUCGGUGAUAAAAGUGGCCUCAUUGUUCAAGGAAUGGAGUUUCGUCCCGAAUGAAGAAGAGAAGAAUCCUUCUCUUACUAUGACCUUUUGUUCAAUUAGUACUUUUAUAUAUGGCCUUUCUAAAGGAACGUAUUGAUCGAGAUGAUUGAAUUUGAUUAGAAAAUGCGCGUAAGUGGAAGAAGAAAGCUGAGGAGGCAGUUGCAGAACGCGGUUCGUCAGACAAAAAUAUGAAAGCAUUUGUGGAUGAACUGAAAAAAAUCCAUGCCAAGAAACAAGUAGAAAAUGUCUAGUUUUGUUUAACUACAUUCAUUUCAAGUGUAUAAUUCAAUCUAUGGGAUGUAAAUCGAGUAUGUUGUUGUUGUUUUUCUGCUUUCUAUAGCACGUUUCUACUAUUUGUUUAUAUAGCAUGUGAACUCUAACAAAUGGAAAGUGCCUGUUUCAAGAAAGCGGUCGUUCACGUCAAGAAUAGAGGUCUGUACUUUCUUUUCCUUUUGUUCAUCUAGAUUGUGUUGGUGUUCAAUGUACCACUUGUCUAGUCUGAUCUAUGCGAUCCUACAUAGAGUACAAGAUCGAAAAGAAUGCAUUGAAUGGAUGUCUGGUUAUAUGUUUGAAUAUAAAAUUAUAUGGAUAAGCAUCUCUUUAAAUUAGAAAUAAACAACAUCUAGUAG
RNAcentral lists this long non-coding RNA (12388 nucleotides) under Solanum tuberosum (potato). RNAcentral describes it as "long non-coding RNA (STUB_LNC011909)". The stretch from base 452 to 599 matches the Rfam family "U1 spliceosomal RNA". The record is from RNAcentral. Lineage: Eukaryota; Viridiplantae; Streptophyta; Magnoliopsida; Solanales; Solanaceae.